AUGGAACCGACGAUGGCAGCAGCAUCAUCAGGGACGUCGGCCCAGUCAAGUAACCGGCGGAGCAUGAGCUGGGGCUCCUCCAUCUCCCACUCGUUCCGGCAGCCGGACACGGACGACCCGUUCAGGCGGGCGCAGUCGCGCAGCGACAACGACGAGGAGAACCUCCGGUGGGCGGCGCUCGAGAAGCUGCCCACCUACGACCGCAUGCGCCACGCCAUCGUCCUCAAUCAAGACGGCGCAGGUCUGGUGCACAUCGAGCAGCUUGCCCGCGGCGAGGCCGGCCGCGCGCUCCUGGAGCGCGUCUUCCAGGACGACAGCGAGCGCUUCCUCCGGCGCCUCAGGGACCGCGCCGACAGGGUGGGCAUCGACCUCCCGGCCAUCGAGGUGCGGUACCAGGACCUCUCCGUCGAGGUCGACGCCUUCGUCGGCAGCCGGUCGCUCCCCACGCUCUGGAACGAAACCACUAACUUCCUACAGGGUCUUAUUGGACGAUUUGGCUCCUCAAACAAGAGGACCACUACCGUACUCAAACACGCCUAUGGCAUCCUCAAACCAUCCAGGAUGACUCUUCUUCUUGGACCUCCUUCUUCAGGAAAGAGCACACUUAUGCGAGCCCUUACAGGGAAGCUUGACAAAAGCCUCAAGGUAUCUGGCAGCAUCACAUAUUGUGGUCAUGCUUUUUCCGAGUUCUACCCUGAGAGGACCAGUGCGUAUGUCAGUCAGUAUGAUCUCCAUAAUGCAGAGAUGACUGUAAGAGAGACAUUAGAUUUCUCCAGGCGAUGCUUGGGUAUCGGUGCCAGAUAUGACAUGCUUGCGGAGCUCACUUCAAGGGAGCGGGAGGCAGGCAUAAAUCCAGAUCCUGAGAUCGACGCUUACAUGAAAGCUACUGCAGUGCAAGGACAUGAGACUAAUAUUAUAACCGAUCUUACUCUCAAGGUGCUUGGGCUUGACAUUUGCGCCGAUAACAUCGUCGGUGAUGAGAUGACCAGAGGAAUUUCUGGGGGGCAAAAGAAGCGUGUCACAACUGGGGAGAUGUUAACAGGACCCGCAAGGGCUUUGUUCAUGGAUGAAAUUUCCACUGGUUUGGAUAGCUCUAGCACGUUUCAGAUUGUAAAAUAUGUAAGGCAAUUGGUCCAUGUGAUGAAUGACACUGUGAUGAUCUCCCUUUUACAACCACCGCCAGAGACCUACAACUUGUUUGAUGACAUAAUUCUGCUAUCAGAAGGAUACAUAGUGUACCAUGGGCCACGCGAGAACAUCUUAGAAUUUUUUGAAUCCGCUGGUUUCCGGUGCCCGGAGAGGAAAGGAGUUGCUGACUUCCUUCAAGAGGUCACUUCCAAGAAAGACCAGCAACAAUACUGGUAUCUUGACCAGGAGCAGUAUCGUUAUGUGCCAGUUCUAGAGUUUGCUGAACAUUACAAGUCAUUCCAUGUAGGCCAGCAGAUGCUGGAGGAGCUGAAGAUUCCUUUUGAAAAAUCCAAAACCCAUCCUGCCGCGUUGACCAUGUCGAAGUAUGGGCAAUCCAGCUGGGAGUCAUUCAAGGCAGUGAUGUCGAGAGAACAACUAUUGAUGAAGCGCAACUCCUUCAUCUACAUCUUCAAGGUCAGCCAGUUGAUCCUCCUUGGGCUCAUGGCCAUGACUGUAUUCCUCAGAACAGAGAUGCCCCAUGGACAGAUUUCCGAUGGUGCUAAAUUCUUUGGAGCUCUGACUUUCAGUUUAAUCACCAUUUUGUUUAAUGGGUUUGCUGAGCUACAACUGACCAUUAAGAUCCUUCCUACAUUCUACAAACAAAGAGAUUUCUUGUUCUUCCCCCCAUGGACCUUCGGACUGGCAAACAUCAUCUUAAAAGUUCCUGUUUCAUUUGUGGAGGCUGGGGUAUGGGUUGUCCUCACGUACUAUGUGAUGGGCUUUGCACCUUCUGCAGGAAGGUUCUUCCGCCAACUUUUAGCUUUCUUCGUUACUCACCAAAUGGCAAUGGCUUUGUUCCGAUUUCUUGGUGCUAUUUUGAAAUCAAUGGUUGUUGCCAACACUUUUGGGAUGUUUGUUCAACUUAUUAUUUUCAUAUUUGGAGGAUUUAUCAUCCCUAGAGGUGACAUCAGACCAUGGUGGAUCUGGGCUUACUGGGCAUCUCCUAUGAUGUAUAGCCAGAAUGCAAUAUCGGUCAAUGAAUUCCUUGCCAGUAGGUGGGCCACUCCAAACAAUGAUCCUACUAUUGAUGCACCAACGGUAGGAAAGGCUAUUCUUAAAUCCAGAGGCUUGUUUACUGGAGACUGGGGCUUUUGGCUUUCCAUUGGAGCCGUUAUAGGAUUCACUAUUUUGUUCAACAUUUUGUACCUUCUGGCCCUAACAUACUUGAGCCCUAGCAGUAGAUCAAACGCACUAGUUUCAGAUAAGGAGAAUGAGAGUGGCACAAACAAAGAGCAAAUGUCAGAAGCCAGUGUGUCAUCUACUAUGCCAUCUUCAAUACCUAUGGUUUCUACAGGUGCUAAGGAAGCCACAAAUAAGCCAGCUCAGUCACGAACUACCUUGCCUUUCCAGCCUCUUUCACUUUCUUUCAACCAUAUAAACUAUUGGGUGGACAUGCCUGCAGAAAUGAAGGAACAAGGAUUCACAGAAAGUCGUCUCCAGUUGCUCUCUGAUAUCAGUGGUGCAUUUAGGCCAGGAGUUCUGACUGCACUAGUUGGUGUGAGUGGAGCUGGGAAGACCACUCUAAUGGAUGUCCUGGCAGGAAGGAAAACCAGUGGAGCUAUUGAAGGAAGUAUCACCCUCUCCGGUUACCCUAAAAAGCAAGAAACUUUUGCCCGCAUUAGUGGCUAUUGUGAACAGAUUGAUAUCCAUUCACCAAAUGUUACAGUAUAUGAAUCCAUUCUGUACUCUGCCUGGCUGCGUCUUUCCUCAGAUGUUGAUGACGCUACGAGAAAGAUGUUUGUGGAGGAAGUCAUGACCCUUGUAGAACUUGAUGUGCUGCGUAAUGCUAUGGUUGGUCUCCCUGGAGUUGACGGGUUAUCGACUGAACAAAGAAAGAGACUGACAAUUGCUGUGGAGCUAGUAGCAAAUCCUUCAAUUAUAUUUAUGGAUGAGCCAACUUCUGGUCUUGAUGCUAGAGCUGCAGCAAUUGUCAUGAGGACAGUGAGAAAUACAGUCAAUACUGGGCGUACCGUUGUUUGCACGAUCCAUCAACCAAGCAUUGAUAUAUUUGAGUCUUUUGAUGAGCUUCUGCUUUUGAAAAGAGGAGGGCGGGUUAUUUAUGCUGGUGAACUUGGUCGUCACUGUGAUAAACUAGUUGAAUAUUUCGAGGAAAUUCCAGGUGUGGCUAAGAUCACAAAAGGAUAUAAUCCUGCAACAUGGAUGCUGGAAGUUAGCUCCACUUUAGCUGAAGCUCACUUGAACAUAAAUUUUGCGGAAAUUUAUGCUAAUUCCGUUCUUCAUAGGAAAAACCAAGACCUUAUUAAGGAAUUGGGCGUUGCCCCUCCAGGCUAUCAGGAUCUCUCAUUUCCUACAAAGUAUUCUCAAAAUUUCUACAACCAAUGUGUUGCAAACUUCUGGAAGCAAUACAAAUCUUAUUGGAAGAAUCCACCCUACAAUGCCAUGCGCUAUCUUAUGACGUUGCUCGAUGGUGUUGUAUUUGGUACUGUGUUUUGGCAAAAAGGAACAAAAAUAGAAUCGCAACAAGACUUGUACAAUCUACUUGGUGCCACUUAUGCUGCUGUCUUCUUCCUUGGGGCUACCAAUUGCUUCACCGUUCAGCCUGUUGUGUCAAUUGAGAGAACAGUUUUCUACCGUGAAAAGGCGGCAGGGAUGUACUCUCCAUUAUCCUAUGCAUUAGCUCAGGCAUGCAUGGAGAUCAUCUACAACAUCCUCCAAGGGAUGUUAUACACAAUCCUCAUCUAUGUGAUGAUUGGAUAUGACUGGAAAGUUGACAAGUUCUUCUAUUUCAUGUUCUUCGUUAUUGCAAGCUUCAACUACUUCACAUUGUUCGGCAUGAUGUUGGUAGCAUUGACUCCAUCUGCAAUGCUUGCAAGCAUACUCGUAUCCUUUGUACUCCCUCUCUGGAACCUGUUUGCUGGGUUCCUCGUUGUCAGAACAGCGAUACCGAUUUGGUGGAGGUGGUACUACUGGGCCAACCCAGUGUCUUGGACCAUCUAUGGUGUUGUUGCAUCGCAGUUUGGUGACCAUGGCGGUUCUCUGCUAGUCCCCGGUGGGAGCCCUAUGGUGGUGAAGCAAUUUUUGGAGGAUAAUUUGGGCGUGCGGCAUGAUUUCCUUGGCUAUGUUAUCAUAGCCCACUUUGCCUACAUCAUUGCCAUCUUCUUCGUCUUCGGCUAUUCCAUCAAGUUCUUAAACUUUCAAAAACGUUAG
RNAcentral lists this ribosomal RNA (4356 nucleotides) under Triticum aestivum (bread wheat). Its description in RNAcentral is "partial small subunit ribosomal RNA". Lineage: Eukaryota; Viridiplantae; Streptophyta; Magnoliopsida; Poales; Poaceae. The record is from RNAcentral.